RNAcentral lists this ribosomal RNA (464 nucleotides) under uncultured Colwelliaceae bacterium. RNAcentral describes it as "bacterial SSU rRNA". It matches the Rfam family "Bacterial small subunit ribosomal RNA", at positions 1072 to 1533 of the family's 1533-position model. Lineage: Bacteria; Pseudomonadati; Pseudomonadota; Gammaproteobacteria; Alteromonadales; Colwelliaceae. The record is from RNAcentral.
AUGUUGGGUAGUCCGCACGAGCGCAACCCUUAUCCUUAUUUGCCAGCGCGUUAUGGCGGGAACUUUAAGGAGACUGCCGGUGAUAAACCGGAGGAAGGUGGGGACGACGUCAAGUCAUCAUGGCCCUUACGGGAUGGGCUACACACGUGCUACAAUGGCAGGUACAGAGGGCAGCAAUACCGCGAGGUGGAGCGAAUCCCACAAAGCUUGUCGUAGUCCGGAUUGGAGUCUGCAACUCGACUCCAUGAAGUCGGAAUCGCUAGUAAUCGUAGAUCAGAAUGCUACGGUGAAUACGUUCCCGGGCCUUGUACACACCGCCCGUCACACCAUGGGAGUGGGAUGCAAAAGAAGUGGCUAGUUUAACCUUUCGGGGAGGACGGUCACCACUUUGUGUUUCAUGACUGGGGUGAAGUCGUAACAAGGUAACCCUAGGGGAACCUGGGGUUGGAUCACCUCCUUAUCUU